ACAUUCAUUCCCGCACAAAGCCCCGCACCCGCUCCUCCGCUUUAACUCCAAACACACCAUCCCUUCCUCAUUCCAUCCUUCGCCUUCCGCUCUCUUAAUUCUGUUCUCUUUUCUUCCCCGAUAUCUAUCCAUCGAAUCAAGGAAGACUUUCUCUCUGCAGAUUGCAAAUGGGUUUUCCAAUUGGUUACUCGGAAAUUUUCGUGCCGACUAUUUUCCUCCACACGCUCUCAAUUCUGGGUCUCAUCAGAAACCUCAUUUCCUCCCUCUUCCACUUCCUGGGUCUGCCGGACCUCAUAGAACCCGAUUUCGUAUUUCCUGAGGCCCAGAACCGGCUACCUAAUGCAGAUACCCAAGCUCCCAUGUCCGCUAUCCUUAUCCGGGAGCUCCUGCCCGUGGUUAAGUUCGAGAGCCUGGCAGACCCACCCGAGAGCUGCGCGGUCUGUCUGCACGAGUUUGACAGAGGAGAGGAGAUCAGGUGGUUGAGGAACUGCAGGCAUGUCUUCCACACCGGGUGCUUGGACCGUUGGAUAGACUGUGAUCAGAAGACAUGCCCGUUGUGUAGGACCCAGUUCGUGCCUGAUGAUAUGAGAGAGGAGUUUUGUCAACAGCUAUGGGCUGCCUCCGGGGUUGGUGAGUUUCACGAUGUGUCGUAAUAUAUAUACAUUUCAACUUCAACUUCAACUUCAACUUCAACGUGAGGAGGCUUCUGUUCUGUUGGCAGCCUGAUGUGGGGCUUCUAUUGGAAUUAUAGGGGGAAAAGCUGGUGAGAAAACAGUUCCAGCCUUGAUUCCAGCUGCUGCGGUGCAAAUGCUGAGCUUCCUUCUUGUUGUCCCAUGUUCUGUCCAGCGCUGGAGUGUUCCCUGUAUGUCCUCUUAAUUUUUUUGAUAGUUUCGUUUAGGUCUGCAGAAUUUACCUGAGUGUAAGACAUCAUUCCGUGAGAUCUACAAUUGAUAAAGAGUAAUGGCGGCAUAUAAUGAAAAGCAAGCUUUAUCAUCAGAGUUUGUAAUAAAGGUCUGCAGAUUUACCGAUC
Punica granatum (pomegranate) is the source of this 1030-nucleotide non-coding RNA. Lineage: Eukaryota; Viridiplantae; Streptophyta; Magnoliopsida; Myrtales; Lythraceae. The record is from RefSeq and is a predicted model, not a curated record.